GUUGAAGCCAGCUGGUUGUGUCGGCGUAGAACCAAAUACCCCCAAUAUGUCCUCUGGGUUGUACUCGAGAAGAGAGAGAGUUCGCUGAUAGAGUUCGCUGCUUCACUUUAUUGAAUAUUUGGCGCCUGGGUUUACUGGUAGAGUAACCAAAUCCUGUGGUCACCUAAAAACAUGACCUAUACAUGAAUGUAGUUGAACAAAAAGACACUUUCUUUUUUAAUUGAAACGCAAACGUCCUACUCCAAAAGAAGCGAAUCAAAGAUUGCUCUGGUGCUUUAUUAACUGCUGAAAAACACAACAAAGCCAGGAACCAAAUGAUUCCAUUUCAGGAGAGAAAAAAAAAAUCUCUUAACUUGACUCCGUUGCUGGCGAAAUGAGUCCAUUUUAAUAAUCCAAUUACUGGAUCUAUGAGGAGGAGGAGGAUUUGUUGGACAUUCAGAAUGUUUACCAAGAGAGAGUAAGUGAUGGAAUCUCGAAUGGAUCAGUUUGAGAUCAUGGAGCAGAUCGGUCG
RNAcentral lists this unclassified non-coding RNA (511 nucleotides) under Hevea brasiliensis (rubber tree). Lineage: Eukaryota; Viridiplantae; Streptophyta; Magnoliopsida; Malpighiales; Euphorbiaceae. The record is from RNAcentral.